Molecule: ribosomal RNA, 273 nt
Filed under: uncultured bacterium
Lineage: Bacteria
Description: partial 16S ribosomal RNA
Rfam family: Bacterial small subunit ribosomal RNA
Source: RNAcentral
UACGGAGGGUGCAAGCGUUAAUCGGAAUUACUGGGCGUAAAGCGCACGCAGGCGGUCAAUUAAGUCAGAUGUGAAAGCCCCGAGCUUAACUUGGGAAUUGCAUCUGAAACUGGUUGGCUAGAGUCUUGUAGAGGGGGGUAGAAUUCCAUGUGUAGCGGUGAAAUGCGUAGAGAUGUGGAGGAAUACCGGUGGCGAAGGCGGCCCCCUGGACAAAGACUGACGCUCAGGUGCGAAAGCGUGGGGAGCAAACAGGAUUAGAUACCCCUGUAGUCC